This 819-nucleotide long non-coding RNA is filed under the name Salmo salar (Atlantic salmon). RNAcentral's name for it is "lncRNA (ENSSSAG00000115704.1)". The record is from RNAcentral. Lineage: Eukaryota; Metazoa; Chordata; Actinopteri; Salmoniformes; Salmonidae.
GGAGGAGCUAAGAUGAGAGGUGGAGAGAUGAUUCUCCUCUAUCUGACUGGAACAGUGGGACGUCUUCAGUUUUUCUUCCUGAUAACACACUGUUACACCCAUCACCAUGUUUCUCUACCCAGUGUUUCUCCUCUCUGCACAUGUUGGUGACAGUAAUGGUCAGAUCAUUAAGCCAAUCUCUUCUGCUGAAGUGAGAGACUCUGCAAUGUACUAUUGUGCUGUGACAGGAACCCAGAAACUCUGUACUAAAACCUUUCCUUAUACUUUCAAAUGUAGAUAUAAAAUGUAAUUGAUUUAAUGUAGUCAGUAGGAGGAGCUAAAGCUAAGGAUUAGAUAAUGAAUCAUUGUGAUAAGACAUGAUUCUCCCUACAUUAAUAAAAUCAAUCUAAGCAGGAGGAAGAGCAGCAACAGUUGAAGACUCUUCAAACACAGUAUGUGGAAAGAACAGUGAUCAGUCUGAUUUGUUGCCUUUUAUUGUCAGUUUGUCUAACUUACAAAGAACAUUGUUACUUUUUUCAAUUUUACUGUUCACAACAAUUACAGGUAAGAGACAGCAUUUGUUAUAUAAAUAUUGUCUAUUUUAUGUGUAUUUAAUAAUAAUAAUAAAAAUGCAGUAUCCAAGGAAAUUAUAUCAAUCUUCCAUGUGGAUUUCGGGUUUAUGUUUAAAUUCUGAAGAGGUAAUUACACCCUAUACUGAUGCAGUGCUGGCUUUGGACACGGACAGAGUUACUCUCUCUUGUAACUACACUGCUGGUGACACUCUUCAAUGGUAUCAACAAUAUCCCAAAUCACCACCACAGUUAUUGGUUAUGGAGUUAA